RNAcentral lists this ribosomal RNA (442 nucleotides) under uncultured bacterium. RNAcentral's name for it is "partial 16S ribosomal RNA". It matches the Rfam family "Bacterial small subunit ribosomal RNA", at positions 338 to 795 of the family's 1533-position model. The record is from RNAcentral.
CCUACGGGUGGCAGCAGUGGGGAAUAUUGGGCAAUGGGCGCAAGCCUGACCCAGCAACGCCGCGUGAAGGAAGAAGGCUUUCGGGUUGUAAACUUCUUUUAAGAGGGAAGAGCAGAAGACGGUACCUCUUGAAUAAGCUACGGCUAACUACGUGCCAGCAGCUGCGGUAAUACGUAGGUGGCAGGCGUUAUCCGGAUUUACUGGGUUUAAAGGGCGUGCAGCCGGGAAGACAAGUCAGAUGUGAAAUCCCGCUGCUCAACCGCGGAACUGCAUUUGAAACUGUUUUUCUUGAGUACCGGAGAGGUCAUCGGAAUUCCUGGUGUAGCGGUGAAAUGCGGAGAUAUAAGGGAGAACACCGAUGGCGAAGGCAGAUGACUGGACGGCAACUGACGGUGAGGCGCGAAAGCGUGGGGAGCAAACAGGAUUAGAUACCCUGGUAGUC